RNAcentral lists this ribosomal RNA (497 nucleotides) under uncultured bacterium. Its description in RNAcentral is "partial 16S ribosomal RNA". It matches the Rfam family "Bacterial small subunit ribosomal RNA", at positions 28 to 507 of the family's 1533-position model. The record is from RNAcentral.
GAUGAACGCUGGCGGCGUGCCUAAUACAUGCAAGUCGAGCGAACAGACGAGGAGCUUGCUCCUCUGACGUUAGCGGCGGACGGGUGAGUAACACGUGGAUAACCUACCUAUAAGACUGGGAUAACUUCGGGAAACCGGAGCUAAUACCGGAUAAUAUAUUGAACCGCAUGGUUCAAUAGUGUAAGACGGUUUUGCUGUCACUUAUAGAUGGAUCCGCGCCGCAUUAGCUAGUUGGUAAGGUAACGGCUUACCAAGGCAACUAUGCGUAGCCGACCUGAGAGGGUGAUCGGCCACACUGGAACUGAGACACGGUCCAGACUCCUACGGGAGGCAGCAGUAGGGAAUCUUCCGCAAUGGGCGAAAGCCUGACGGAGCAACGCCGCGUGAGUGAUGAAGGUCUUCGGAUCGUAAAACUCUGUUAUUAGGGAAGAACAAAUGUGUAAGUAACUAUGCACGUCUUGACGGUACCUAAUCAGAAAGCCACGGCUAACUACGUG